CCGUUUCAAUUUGCUGGGGACAGAUAAAGUGAAUGUGACUGUCGAUCCCACCAGCCGUGACGAUUGCGCCUUCUCCUGCUAAGACUUCCGUACCAGGACCGAUGAUAAUAUCUACGUUGUCUUGAAUGUAAGGAUUGCCAGCUUUGCCAAUUUUGUAAAUCUUACCGUCUUUAAUUCCGAUAUCGGCUUUGACAAUCCCCCACCAAUCGAGGAUUAAAGCGUUGGUAAUGACUAAAUCGACAGCACCAUCAGCAUUAGCAAUGGGAGAUUGUCCCAUCCCAUCGCGG
This 287-nucleotide small RNA is filed under the name Chroococcidiopsis thermalis PCC 7203. RNAcentral's name for it is "5' ureB small RNA". It matches the Rfam family "5' ureB small RNA". Lineage: Bacteria; Bacillati; Cyanobacteriota; Cyanophyceae; Chroococcidiopsidales; Chroococcidiopsidaceae. The record is from Rfam by way of RNAcentral.